Molecule: ribosomal RNA, 794 nt
Filed under: uncultured bacterium
Lineage: Bacteria
Description: bacterial SSU rRNA
Rfam family: Bacterial small subunit ribosomal RNA
Source: RNAcentral
AGUCGAGCGAGCUUGCCUAGAUGAUUUUAGUGCUUGCACUAAAUGAAACUAGAUACAAGCGAGCGGCGGACGGGUGAGUAACACGUGGGUAACCUGCCCAAGAGACUGGGAUAACACCUGGAAACAGAUGCUAAUACCGGAUAACAACACUAGACGCAUGUCUAGAGUUUGAAAGAUGGUUCUGCUAUCACUCUUGGAUGGACCUGCGGUGCAUUAGCUAGUUGGUAAGGUAACGGCUUACCAAGGCAAUGAUGCAUAGCCGAGUUGAGAGACUGAUCGGCCACAUUGGGACUGAGACACGGCCCAAACUCCUACGGGAGGCAGCAGUAGGGAAUCUUCCACAAUGGACGAAAGUCUGAUGGAGCAACGCCGCGUGAGUGAAGAAGGGUUUCGGCUCGUAAAGCUCUGUUGGUAGUGAAGAAAGAUAGAGGUAGUAACUGGCCUUUAUUUGACGGUAAUUACUUAGAAAGUCACGGCUAACUACGUGCCAGCAGCCGCGGUAAUACGUAGGUGGCAAGCGUUGUCCGGAUUUAUUGGGCGUAAAGCGAGUGCAGGCGGUUCAAUAAGUCUGAUGUGAAAGCCUUCGGCUCAACCGGAGAAUUGCAUCAGAAACUGUUGAACUUGAGUGCAGAAGAGGAGAGUGGAACUCCAUGUGUAGCGGUGGAAUGCGUAGAUAUAUGGAAGAACACCAGUGGCGAAGGCGGCUCUCUGGUCUGCAACUGACGCUGAGGCUCGAAAGCAUGGGUAGCGAACAGGAUUAGAUACCCUGGUAGUCCAUGCCGUAAACGAUGAGU